RNAcentral lists this ribosomal RNA (600 nucleotides) under Trametes versicolor. Its description in RNAcentral is "eukaryotic LSU rRNA". It matches the Rfam family "Eukaryotic large subunit ribosomal RNA", at positions 1 to 600 of the family's 3401-position model. The record is from RNAcentral. Lineage: Eukaryota; Fungi; Basidiomycota; Agaricomycetes; Polyporales; Polyporaceae.
CUGACCUCAAAUCAGGUAGGACUACCCGCUGAACUUAAGCAUAUCAAUAAGCGGAGGAAAAGAAACUAACAAGGAUUCCCCUAGUAACUGCGAGUGAAGCGGGAAAAGCUCAAAUUUAAAAUCUGGCGGUCUUUGGCCGUCCGAGUUGUAGUCUGGAGAAGCGUCUUCCGCGUUGGACCGUGUACAAGUCUCUUGGAACAGAGCGUCAUAGAGGGUGAGAAUCCCGUCUUUGACACGGACUACCAAUGCUUUGUGAUGCGCUCUCAAAGAGUCGCGUUGUUUGGGAAUGCAGCGCAAAAUGGGAGGUGAAUUCCUUCUAAAGCUAAAUAUUGGCGAGAGACCGAUAGCGAACAAGUACCGUGAGGGAAAGAUGAAAAGCACUUUGGAAAGAGAGUUAAACAGUACGUGAAAUUGCUAAAAGGGAAACGCUUGAAGUCAGUCGCGUCGUCCGGAACUCAGCUUUGCUUCGGCUUAGUGCACUUUCCGGUUGACGGGCCAGCAUCGAUUUUGACCGCUGGAAAAGGGCUGGAGGAAUGUGGCACCUUCGGGUGUGUUAUAGCCUUCAGUCGCAUACAGGGGUUGGGAUCGAGGAACGCAGCG